CUCCCUCCCUCUCCCCACGCCACUCUCCCUACUCCCUCCCUCUCUCUCUAUCUCCCUCUCUCUAGCUCCCCAUGCAGCAGCAGCCCCCCCUCCCUUGGAGCUAGCGACCGAGCCCUCCCAUGCUCCUCCCUCACCUUGGCAGCUCUUCCAUGGCGUCACCCCCUCCUCUACGGUAGCAAGGUGUAGGUGAGCUCCGGGUCAAGAACUUGUGUGCUGAAAUUUCAGAUUCUUGCACUUUCUUCUAAAAUCUUUAACUCGAGUUUGGAAGCUCCUAAAAUAGUAAGACUUAUUUUUUUAGCUUCCAUAUGAAAUGUCCUACCUAUUAGAUCUAUAAUGUGACCUGUUUUAGUAGACGUUUUUGUCUGUGCAAAUUAAAUCUUAAAAAGAGGUUUAGAGAAUAAACGAACUUGCUUCUCUCCAUAGUUUUAAUUAUAAGAAUCCAAAAAUGAUCAAACUUGUUUUGUUAGUUAGAUGUUGUCAUACUCCAUCUAAGAAAAAUAUAAAACUUAUAUGUUGUUCACUGUUUUCUUGGUAUGUUAAUUAAUCUUGUUAACUAUGAAAAAGAUGAUUGUUUUGCUUGUUGUUUUUGGAUCUGUAGCUCCAGUGCUCCAAAUGGAUUGAAAUUUUUACAGUAGCCCCUCUGUGUGAUGCUUAGUGACUGAUAACAAUUUCAUAAUUUAUGGUCAAUGUAUCACUGAGUUAGUGAUUUAACUUGUUUGAUGCAUAUUAAGUAGUUUUAAAUGGUUUAUAAAUAAUAUAUGGAUGUAAAAAUGGAAAAUGGUGUUCCACUGUCCUUGCAAAAUAUUAUAGUAGCCUAAGAAAACUUAAUAUGGUCAUGCAUCCAUAGAAAAUAAUUAAUUUUACAAUUAACUUGCUCUCACAAGUUUUAUUGCAUUAACAAUUUCUUAUUUUUGUAUUAAAUAAAAUAAAAACCUGCGCAUGUGAAAUUUAUAUAUUUGUCAUGAUUUGUUAUUACCUAUGUCUCAUAAAAAUCCCAGCCCCAAAUUAGAUAGUUUCAUAUGGUGCUAAAAUGACACACGUUUUAUAAUAAUAAGAAUUAGAGACAAAUUAGAAGUAAGCAAACCAUGCAUGUUGGAAUUGUUUAUGUCAUGCAAUAAGAUUUGAAAUGUGAAGAAUGGAUAGUGAAUUUAAGAAAUGUUAGCCAAUAGGUUUGGUCAAGCAUGGUAGAGGUUGAAUCGGUUAUGUUGUAGAAUUGAUGCUCGAAAUGAUAGACCCCCUAAAAUAUGCUAUUUUUGGUGACUUGUGUGCUAACCAAUUUAAGUUGAGCAAUGGUUAAGAAAAGAUGAUUAAUCUGCUGCAACUCAUGUUUUUGAGUUGCAAUGUCUAAAAUGGUUUGCUAAGUUUAUACUGUGUUAGCCAACUCAUGUUAAGUAGGAGUCGAUUGCGUUAAGUGAUUGUUAUAUACAUAUUGUGUCUCGGAUUGUGAUGAUAAUGGGUUAGUCAACUUGUUAGAUGGCUUUGGUUAAACUCGUAAUGACGAUAAAUUGCUUGUUGUUGUCUAAAUACGUAUGCUUAUGGUCGCGGAUGAAAAGUAGUAGUACUCAUAUGAUGUCCAAGUUAAAAUGCAAAUUACUGUGUCAAGAGCUCAUCGAUAUACACAUAUACCGGGUUUGAUUAUUGUGGUGAAUACGUUUGUUAAUGGUGUGUGGUAAUUCUAGUGCACGAAAUGACUUGGAUAAAAAUUGGUAAGUUGACUUGUUGAUUCUCAUUUGAUUAUUUUAACUCCAACAAAUGGUAAAGUGUUAGAAUAAUUCAAGUCUCUAGAACACGACAAAUUCUUGAAUUGUAUAGGAGCUGAAAUUUAUUAGUUGUUGUUUUGGACUGCACGCAGUGAUUUCCCCGUGCUGUAUGUUUGAUGAACUAAAUUGUGUUUUCCGUAGAUAUGUGCUAUAUAAAAGUGGUAGAUAACUUUAUUAUCUUGCUGGUGUUAAAAAUUGGCAGCCAUAAACCUGAUCGUUUAGGAGUUGUGCUUUUCACAAGCCCAGCACCUGAAUCUGUCGAAUUUCUGAACAGCUUUCAUAAAUUGCAAUGGUUGCUUAAGUUAAUUUUGAAAUAAGUUAUUGUUGGUCACAAGAAAGUUGUAGAUAACUCUGUCAUCUUAUUUGUGUUAAAAUUUGACAGGCAUAAGUCUGAUCGUUUAGGAGUUAUGCUUUUUACAAAUUCAGUAACUGAAUCUGUCCAAAUUCUGUAUAGAUUUCAUAAACUGCAUUGUUUGCUUAAUUUAAUUUUACAAUCAGUUCAUGGUAGUCAUAAGAAAGUUGUAGAGGUUUUUCUUAUCUUGCUUGUGUUAAAAUUUCAUAACCAUAGACCUGACAGUUUAGGAGUUAUGAAUUUUACAAACUGGUUUCUGUAUUCUGUCCACUCACAAAACAGAUUUCAAAAACUGAAUUGUUUGAUUCAGUUCAACAUAGAAUCAAUUCUUGGUGAUUAUAAAAGUUAUGUAGUGCUUUUUUCAAGAUUUCCAAAAAGUCUUGGAUCACUCUUUUUGGUGGUCUGAAGAUUUAGUUAUAGGUGUUUGAAAUGUGAAGACCGAAUAUGUCCAAUUCUGGACAGCAAAGUCUUCUAGUGUAUUUUACCCUUGAUACAUAUUAAACCAGCCAGGGAUGUUUAUAAAUAAUUUGUAGAACUAUUAAUUAGCUUUCCAGAAAGUCUAAGAUCACUUUGUUUGGAUGUCUGAAUCUUUAGUUGUGAAUUUUUGAAGUUGCAAGUCUGAAUCUGUCCAAAUCUGGACAGAGCUGUUGUAUUAGCACGUUUCAACAUUGCUAAGUGUUGAAUCGUGUUGAGGUCAAAAUACCAAAGUUGUAGUUCACCUUUUAAGCUUUCCAGGAAGUCCUAGUGUGAUAUUUUUGGAUUAAUAUUUGAUGAGUUAUGAUUAAAACAAAUAACUGUUGUAUUGCUGUCCAAAAAUCUGCAAGUGUCCAUUUGAUGGUUGAGUUCACCCUUUUUUAAUAAAAAUGUUUGGUUGGCUCUUAAUUAAUGUAGACUUGCCAUGGAUAAGCUUGAGAUAACAUAUGUGUCCUAUUUUAUAUGUUUCUUUCUCUAAUUGAUUGUGAAAUAGGAGUUCCAUAGAAAUUGAUGCAUAGGUCCUCUAUUAAAUCUGUGUUGGGAUGCCUUGUGUGAUUAAUAGAAAAACUAAGGGAAAGUCAUAGCAAGUUAAAUAAAUGUUCAUACUUGUGAUGUCCUGUUGUGUUGGUUAAUUAUAGAUAGUAAUCGUCGUCCUUCCAGUGGUGUUGAUGUGGUGCGCUCGAUGAAGUGUAGAUAGCUAAUGCUAGCAUAUGGUUGUUACGAUGUCUUACAAUUUAAUGUUUAGUUCGCUACUGUGCCUUUGUAUAUCUUGUGCUACUUUUGUGCUACUUUCAUUAUAUCCAUACAUAUGCAUCUGCAUCUCAUUUAGGACCGAGAGAUGCUGAUCGUGCAAGUGAUGAGGUGCCAACCACAAGAUGCAGUUGGUGGAUGACCUGAAGAAUGGUGGAAUUAACCAGUGGAUGCUCGCCAAGCGAGUACCCCCCAGCAAACACUAUCUAAGUGUUAAAUUAAAGGCAAGCCCCAGUUUUAUGCAUAACCAAUUAUAUUAUGCUAUUUUACUGCACUUAAUGUUUGUAGGAUUGUACUGUGCACUUAAGUGUAGGAGUUGAAUGAAACCCUAGUUGCAUGAACUCAAGUUUCCUUUUGAGAUGGAUACUAGUAUGAUAGGUCGAGUAGUUGCUUUACUAAUUAGGGAUCUCGGUAGAAGUCGAGUGAUUUUUCUAGCAUUCGCGCGAGGUCAGGAAUUGGUUGUAUCCAUUUUUAUAUUGUAAUGAUGAUGGUCUAUGGACAACAAUCCAUGGGGAUGCGUUGUCUAUGAGACGAAAAUUGGAAUAAGGAUUAAGGUGUGGUACCGUGUGUCAAGCGUUUGAACGUACUAAACACAUGCCGAGAAAUAUGGUAAAUUGGUAAGCCUAGUACCUGAGUGAACCUGCCCGCAGACUUUGCCCCUCACGCGACCUGAGAUGUGGUCUCCCAUUCCGGUUAUGGUGGGUACAAGUGCGGUCACUGCACGACGGCAGUCGGGGUCAGUGAGGCAUUGUACGCCAAGGUGGUGAGCCCUGUUCUGUUGCCAGGGAAUCGAUGGGGACGGUUGAUGUGUGUGGGGACAGAGUGCCUCGCCACGUCGUGUGUUUAGGUUUACCUUUUAAGGUUUAAAAACUCGAUUCAAAACGUCUGCUUCUCGCAGCUAAUGAGACUGCUUGAUCCAUGCUGCUACAUUGAGUAAUAAGUGGAAAUGAGGUGACUGGCAAAAGAUGUUGAUUGAUAAAAUGUUUGAUACCAUGCAUGACUAGCUAGGUAAUCAUCUAGUUUAAAAAGGAUCAUACUAAAACAUGAAAAGCUAAAACUUGAUUUUAGACUCAGCUAGUGCUUUUGGCAAACCAAACCCCUCAGCCAAACAGCUGCAUGUCUAGAGGUAGAGGAGUAGACUCCUCACACCGGGUAAGUCUAGCUGAGUAUUAGUAUACUCAGCCUUGCUUGUGGCAUAAUUUUUGUAGGUACCUCCUUGAUUGGUUGCUGGUGUGACUUGACCUUCAUCCUUGCCACCGGGACAGAUGGUCGAGAGGGUUACUGCUUCGCAGGAGAGGACCAGGAGUAGCGUGGCCAGGCUUCGCCAUUAUUACUCGGUUUUCUCCGUUAGUUAUUUUCCGCUGCAUUAAAAUUUAUGGUUAUUAUUUCUGAAACUCUGAUAAUGUAAUUGUUGGGGGUAUGCUUCGUAGCCGAAGAUCCUGAAGAAAGAAACACCUUCAGUAGUGCCGAAGCUAUCACCUAUAAAGCUUCGGCAUAAUGACAUGUUUCAAGACGAAGGAGUGAACCGACUUAAAGAUGAAAUGACCCAUAAACCCAUGAUAGUUUGUGUCAUGAUUGUAAUCAAUUGUAAAGGGCAUAAAUGUAAUUUCACACAGGCUGUGCCCUGUGCCUAUAAAUAGAUGAACCGUAUUCCCGUACUGUUCACGCAAUCUUGUAAUCGCUUGCACGCGACACUUGGAUUAUUGCCUUCUACCAAGACGAAG
RNAcentral lists this long non-coding RNA (5060 nucleotides) under Zea mays. RNAcentral describes it as "long non-coding RNA (ZMAY_LNC004303)". The record is from RNAcentral. Lineage: Eukaryota; Viridiplantae; Streptophyta; Magnoliopsida; Poales; Poaceae.